This 628-nucleotide ribosomal RNA is filed under the name uncultured bacterium. RNAcentral's name for it is "bacterial SSU rRNA". It matches the Rfam family "Bacterial small subunit ribosomal RNA", at positions 56 to 680 of the family's 1533-position model. The record is from RNAcentral.
UGCAGUCGAACGGUAGCAGGAAGUGCUUGCACUUUGCUGACGAGUGGCGGACGGGUGAGUAAUACUUAGGAACAUGCCUUUGUGUGGGGGAUAACCAUUGGAAACGAUGGCUAAUACCGCAUAAUGUCUUUGGACCAAAGAGGGCUUUCGGGCUCUCGCGCAAAGAGUGGCCUAAGUGAGAUUAGCUUGUUGGUGAGGUAAAGGCUCACCAAGGCGACGAUCUCUAGCUGUUCUGAGAGGAAGAUCAGCCACACUGGGACUGAGACACGGCCCAGACUCCUACGGGAGGCAGCAGUGGGGAAUAUUGCACAAUGGGGGCAACCCUGAUGCAGCCAUGCCGCGUGUGUGAAGAAGGCCUUCGGGUUGUAAAACACUUUCAGUUGUGAGGAAAGGUUGAUGGUUAAUACCCAUCAGCUGUGACGUUAGCAACAGAAGAAGCACCGGCUAACUCCGUGCCAGCAGCCGCGGUAAUACGGAGGGUGCGAGCGUUAAUCGGAAUUACUGGGCGUAAAGCGCACGCAGGCGGUUAUAUAAGCUAGAUGUGAAAGCCCCGGGCUCAACCUGGGAAUAGCAUUUAGAACUGUAUGACUAGAGUCUUGGAGAGGGGAGUGGAAUUCCAGGUGUAGCG